Molecule: long non-coding RNA, 1397 nt
Filed under: Chinchilla lanigera (long-tailed chinchilla)
Lineage: Eukaryota; Metazoa; Chordata; Mammalia; Rodentia; Chinchillidae
Description: lncRNA (ENSCLAG00000024688.1)
Source: RNAcentral
GGCCACUGAGCCAGGUGGCUUGUUUACCUUAGAAAUAUUUAGGUGACGCCUGGUGUGCCACACAGCUCUGCAAGGAGCUGGAGAGCCUGGCACUGUCCCUCAGACCACAGGAGACCCUAGGGUCUGGGUGCUUGCACAGGAGGAAGAUUUGUAUCUGGAUGAAUAACUGUGUGAACUGAUGGUUUCUUUUUUUUUUUUUUGUCUUUUUUUGAGACAGGUUCUGCAGUUCAGGCUGGACUUGAGCUCACUUUGUAGCCCAGGCUGGUCUCAAACUUGCAACGAUCCUCCUGCCUCAGCCUCCCGAGUGCUGGGAUUACAGGAGAGCGCCACCACGCCUGGGCUGAACUGAUGGUUUCAUGCCAACAGCGAGCUCAACUACUGUCCAACUAACACAGAGCACCUUCCUUGAGAGCUGGAAUGUGUGCUAGGUGGGCUCUGUGACCCUGGUCAUCGGUCCAUUUAGAGCCAUCGUCACCCUGCUAAGUCACUGUGAGCAUCGCAUGUCAGAGAUAAAGACACAAAGCGCAGGGAGGAGCUUGCACAGGCUCAGGUGGCUGGGAUUGGGAAGGACCCACCAGGGUCGCGAGUGACAGGGACCGAGCGGACAGGGGACCGGUUAAGCGACGGAGCCACGUUGGAAGGUGAAGGAGGAGGACGACCGCCAGGCCCAGCCUCCAGCACAGAGCCGGGAAGCAGCACCACAGCACCUGGACCUAAAGGGCCCUCAGCACACAUCCGUGAGCCAUGUGGUGAGCCAUGUCGGACGGUCCCAAACCCGUGGUUCCCACCAGCACGGGUUGAAAAUACCUGCAGAAGAGUUUGGGCCCAUCCCGAGCACCUACAGCCUUUUCGUCUCGUUAUUCCCUGGGAACUCAGGAUGACACUGUACAAGCCCCUGUGUCAUUUUGGGUGUUACAAGUGACAGAGGUGUCCUGAUGUACACAGGGGACGUGCAGGCAGAAGCGAACACUCUGCCACUGCGCGCAGGGACUGAGCGUCUGCAGGCUUGGGUGCUGGCGGGGUCACGGCCUCCACCCCCUUGGAAACCCAGAGAUGCUGGACGUAGAUUCACUCAUUAAACAGAUGGGUCCAGCACCUAUUUUCCCCAUGUCUAUGGUUUGUGUCUGGGUGUCCCCCCCAAAGACACAUGCAGUCAUGGGGCCAGCGUUUAGAGUUUAAGUGAGUGCUAUACCCUCCCUGGGGCUGACAGAUUGCAUAUGUAAGGGAGAGAAAGAGGCUGCCUGCCACCACUCCUCCCUUCUGCUCUUGUUGCUUUUGCUGUCUUCUGCCAUCAUGAAUGGUUGCCCCCUGCCAUGUGCCACCCUGCCUUGGAGCCAGCUGAGUAUGGACUGAAACCUCCACAGACUGUGAGCUAAAUAAACCUUUCCUUCCUUAAU